Molecule: ribosomal RNA, 484 nt
Filed under: uncultured bacterium
Lineage: Bacteria
Description: partial 16S ribosomal RNA
Rfam family: Bacterial small subunit ribosomal RNA
Source: RNAcentral
AUUGAACGCUGGCGGCAGGCCUAACACAUGCAAGUCGAGCGGAUGAAGGGAGCUUGCUCCUGGAUUCAGCGGCGGACGGGUGAGUAAUGCCUAGGAAUCUGCCUGGUAGUGGGGGAUAACGUCCGGAAACGGGCGCUAAUACCGCAUACGUCCUGAGGGAGAAAGUGGGGGAUCUUCGGACCUCACGCUAUCAGAUGAGCCUAGGUCGGAUUAGCUAGUUGGUGGGGUAAAGGCCUACCAAGGCGACGAUCCGUAACUGGUCUGAGAGGAUGAUCAGUCACACUGGAACUGAGACACGGUCCAGACUCCUACGGGAGGCAGCAGUGGGGAAUAUUGGACGAUGGGCGAAAGCCUGAUCCAGCCAUGCCGCGUGUGUGAAGAAGGUCUUCGGAUUGUAAAGCACUUUAAGUUGGGAGGAAGGGCAGUAAGUUAAUACCUUGCUGUUUUGACGUUACCAACAGAUUAAGCACCGGCUAACUUCGUG